UACAGAGGGUGCAAGCGUUGUUCGGAAUUAUUGGGCGUAAAGGGCGCGUAGGCGGUGCGGUAAGUCUUUUGUGAAAUCUCCGGGCUCAACUCGGAGUCUGCAGGAGAAACUGCCGUGCUUGAGUAUGGGAGAGGUGAGUGGAAUUCCUGGUGUAGCGGUGAAAUGCGUAGAUAUCAGGAGGAACACCUGUGGCGAAAGCGGCUCACUGGACCAUUACUGACGCUGAUGCGCGAAAGCGUGGGGAGCGAACAGG
This 253-nucleotide ribosomal RNA is filed under the name uncultured bacterium. RNAcentral describes it as "partial 16S ribosomal RNA". It matches the Rfam family "Bacterial small subunit ribosomal RNA", at positions 524 to 776 of the family's 1533-position model. The record is from RNAcentral.